RNAcentral lists this ribosomal RNA (251 nucleotides) under uncultured bacterium. RNAcentral describes it as "partial 16S ribosomal RNA". It matches the Rfam family "Bacterial small subunit ribosomal RNA", at positions 355 to 597 of the family's 1533-position model. The record is from RNAcentral.
UAGGGAAUCUUCGGCAAUGGACGAAAGUCUGACCGAGCAACGCCGCGUGAGUGAAGAAGGUUUUCGGAUCGUAAAACUCUGUUGGUAGAGAAGAACGUUGGUGAGAGUGGAAAGCUCAUCAAGUGACGGUAGCUACCCAGAAAGGGACGGCUAACUACGUGCCAGCAGCCGCGGUAAUACGUAGGUCCCGAGCGUUGUCCGGAUUUAUUGGGCGUAAAGCGAGCGCAGGUGGUUUAUUAAGUCUGGAUGCU